RNAcentral lists this unclassified non-coding RNA (178 nucleotides) under Ascomycota sp. Its description in RNAcentral is "partial contains small subunit ribosomal RNA, internal transcribed spacer 1, and 5.8S ribosomal RNA". The stretch from base 1 to 47 matches the Rfam family "Eukaryotic small subunit ribosomal RNA", at positions 1785 to 1831 of the family's 1831-position model. The record is from RNAcentral. Lineage: Eukaryota; Fungi; Ascomycota.
AAAGUCGUAACAAGGUUUCCGUAGGUGAACCUGCGGAAGGAUCAUUAACGAGCGCUGCCUUCGGGCAACCCUCCCACCCUAUGUUAACAUACCUGUUUCCUUUCAAACUCUGUUUAAAAUGUCGUCUGAGUAUAAAUCAAAAUUGUCAAAACUUUCAACAACGGAUCUCUUGGUUCUG